AUGCCGGUGAUGGUUCGAGGCUAUGUCCCCGAGCAUGUCUGGCGAGUGCUUGCCGAGCUAAGCCAUUUCUUCCGCACGCUCUGUGCUAAAGAAGUAAGUAAAGACGUGAUUGAAAAUUUGCAUAAGAAGGCACCGGAGUUGAUAGUCAAGCUAGAGAAGAUCUUUCCGUCAGGCUUCUUUACACCGAUGACACAUCUCAUUCUGCACCUCGCGAACGAGGUAUUGUUGGGGGGGCUGUGCAGAAUCGCUGGCAGUACGGCCCUGAGAGACAGAACAAGCAUCUCCGACAGAAAUGUGGAAACAAAGCUAAGAUUGAAGCUUCCAUAG
RNAcentral lists this ribosomal RNA (327 nucleotides) under Triticum aestivum (bread wheat). Its description in RNAcentral is "partial small subunit ribosomal RNA". The record is from RNAcentral. Lineage: Eukaryota; Viridiplantae; Streptophyta; Magnoliopsida; Poales; Poaceae.